AGUUUUCACUAUCUUUGUUCUACUAUAUAUUUUU
RNAcentral lists this small RNA (34 nucleotides) under Arabidopsis thaliana (thale cress). Its description in RNAcentral is "ATSL259960". Lineage: Eukaryota; Viridiplantae; Streptophyta; Magnoliopsida; Brassicales; Brassicaceae. The record is from RNAcentral.